This 492-nucleotide ribosomal RNA is filed under the name uncultured bacterium. RNAcentral describes it as "partial 16S ribosomal RNA". It matches the Rfam family "Bacterial small subunit ribosomal RNA", at positions 29 to 507 of the family's 1533-position model. The record is from RNAcentral.
AGUGAACGCUGGCGGUAGGCCUAACACAUGCAAGUCGAACGGCAGCACAGUAAGAGCUUGCUCUUACGGGUGGCGAGUGGCGGACGGGUGAGGAAUACAUCGGAAUCUACUUUUUCGUGGGGGAUAACGUAGGGAAACUUACGCUAAUACCGCAUACGACCUACAGGUGAAAGCAGGGGAUCUUCGGACCUUGCGCGAUUGAAUGAGCCGAUGUCGGAUUAGCUAGUUGGCGGGGUAAAGGCCCACCAAGGCGACGAUCCGUAGCUGGUCUGAGAGGAUGAUCAGCCACACUGGAACUGAGACACGGUCCAGACUCCUACGGGAGGCAGCAGUGGGGAAUAUUGGACAAUGGACGCAAGCCUGAUCCAGCCAUACCGCGUGGGUGAAGAAGGCCUUCGGGUUGUAAAGCCCUUUUGUUGGGAAAGAAAAGCAGCAGGUUAAUACCCCGCUGUUCUGACGGUACCCAAAGAAUAAGCACCGGCUAACUUCGUG